RNAcentral lists this ribosomal RNA (498 nucleotides) under uncultured bacterium. Its description in RNAcentral is "partial 16S ribosomal RNA". It matches the Rfam family "Bacterial small subunit ribosomal RNA", at positions 30 to 523 of the family's 1533-position model. The record is from RNAcentral.
AUUGAACGCUGGCGGCAUGCCUUACACAUGCAAGUCGAACGGUAACAGGUCUUCGGAUGCUGACGAGUGGCGAACGGGUGAGUAACACAUCGGAACGUGCCUAGUAGUGGGGGAUAACUACUCGAAAGAGUGGCUAAUACCGCAUGAGAUCUACGGAUGAAAGCAGGGGAUCGCAAGACCUUGUGCUACUAGAGCGGCCGGUGGCAGAUUAGGUAGUUGGUGGGAUAAAAGCUUACCAAGCCGACGCUCUGUAGCUGGUCUGAGAGGACGAUCAGCCAGACUGGGAAUGAGAAACGGCCCAGACUCCUACGGGAGGCAGCAGUGGGGAAUUUUGGACAAUGGGCGAAAGCCUGAUCCAGCAAUGCCGCGUGCAGGAUGAAGGCCUUCGGGUUGUAAACUGCUUUUGUACGGAACGAAAAGCCCCGGGUUAAUACCCUGGGGUCAUGACGGUACCGUAAGAAUAAGCACCGGCUAACUACGUGCCAGCCGCCGCCGUAA